Molecule: long non-coding RNA, 628 nt
Organism: Dromaius novaehollandiae (emu)
Lineage: Eukaryota; Metazoa; Chordata; Aves; Casuariiformes; Dromaiidae
Exons: 2
Source: RefSeq, a predicted model, not a curated record
GGGGGGGUCCGCCGCGGCCCGGCAGCCCGCUCGCCUCGUCGGAGAACGAGGGGAAGUCAAACAACUGCCCCGCCGGUGCGGUGACAGAGCCGCGCCGGGUCUCGGAAAAGCCUAAGCGCCGAGCUGACGCCGUCUGAGGAACGGCCGUUAUUUCCACAGGCCCCGCGCCCCGGCUCCGGGGACAGCAGUGCUUCCAGCUUCCCCCCACAGUAACGCGGCUCCCCAGCCGAAGGAAAGCCGCGGUAAAUAUCAAAAAUAAAGCACCAGAAGCGCUGCGCGACGUGCCGUGCUGCCAGGGCCCCGCGGCUGCCCGCUCUGCGCUCGAGAUCGCUCGCCUUGGGCUGCGCGCGGCUGGCCAGCAGCACCUGCUGCUGGCUUCCUCGGCACGAGGUAAGGACCGAGCGGCUUCUGGCACUCUCCGAGCACCUUCACGGCUGGUUUCACACGCCCGCGCAGGGCCGUCAGGCACGCGCCCCGUGCCAGAGGCUACCCAGCCUCCGAAGGCCUGGGCGCCGGUGCCCGUCGUCAGUAGCCUCAGGCAAUCCUGACUGCGGUUCUGCAAAUGAUUUUGUGUAUAUCUGAUUCUCCUGUUACUUAGCACAAAUAAAUGCAUCAACUUUUCAACCUA